AGAAUGAACGUUGGCGGCGUGGAUUAGGCAUGCAAGUCGAGCGAGAAGUUUCUCUUCGGAGAAAUGGACAGCGGCAAACGGGGUAGUAAUGCGCAGGUGACGUACCCCAAGGACCGGGAUAGCUGCGGGAAACUGCAGGUAAUACCGGAUGAUCUCUCAGGAUGUGGUUAUUUUGAGAGCAAAUGGUGUGAUUCCGCCUUGGGAGCGGCUUACGUGGUACUAGCUAGUUGGUGAGGUAACGGCUCACCAAGGCUCAGAUGCCUAGGGGGUGUGAGAGCAUGGCCCCCACCACUGGGACUGAGACACUGCCCAGACACCUACGGGUGGCUGCAGUCGAGAAUCUUCGGCAAUGGGCGAAAGCCUGACCGAGCGACGCCGCGUGCGGGAUGAAGGCCCUUGGGUUGUAAACCGCUGUCAGAGGGGAUGAAAUGCUGGAUGGCUAUCCGUCCAGUUUGACAGAGCCUCAGAGGAAGCACGGGCUAAGUACGUGCCAGCAGCCGCGGUAACACGUACUGUGCAAACGUUAUUCGGAAUCACUGGGCUUAAAGGGUGCGUAGCGGCCGGCUAAGUAGGGUGUGAAAUCCCUCGGCUCAACCGAGGAACUGCGCUCUAAACUGGUCGGCUUGAGUGAGAUAGGGGUGUGCGGAACUUCCAGUGGAGC
This 661-nucleotide ribosomal RNA is filed under the name uncultured bacterium. RNAcentral describes it as "bacterial SSU rRNA". It matches the Rfam family "Bacterial small subunit ribosomal RNA", at positions 26 to 679 of the family's 1533-position model. The record is from RNAcentral. RNAcentral also lists the same sequence under 1 other name.